Molecule: ribosomal RNA, 1563 nt
Filed under: Bacillus cereus
Lineage: Bacteria; Bacillati; Bacillota; Bacilli; Caryophanales; Bacillaceae
Description: bacterial SSU rRNA
Rfam family: Bacterial small subunit ribosomal RNA
Source: RNAcentral
GUUUUUUUUCCCCUGCCCCUUUAUAGAGUUUGGGAACAGCUCAGGAUGAACGCUGGCGGCGUGCCUAAUACAUGCAAGUCGAGCGAAUGGAUUAAGAGCUUGCUCUUAUGAAGUUAGCGGCGGACGGGUGAGUAACACGUGGGUAACCUGCCCAUAAGACUGGGAUAACUCCGGGAAACCGGGGCUAAUACCGGAUAACAUUUUGAACUGCAUGGUUCGAAAUUGAAAGGCGGCUUCGGCUGUCACUUAUGGAUGGACCCGCGUCGCAUUAGCUAGUUGGUGAGGUAACGGCUCACCAAGGCAACGAUGCGUAGCCGACCUGAGAGGGUGAUCGGCCACACUGGGACUGAGACACGGCCCAGACUCCUACGGGAGGCAGCAGUAGGGAAUCUUCCGCAAUGGACGAAAGUCUGACGGAGCAACGCCGCGUGAGUGAUGAAGGCUUUCGGGUCGUAAAACUCUGUUGUUAGGGAAGAACAAGUGCUAGUUGAAUAAGCUGGCACCUUGACGGUACCUAACCAGAAAGCCACGGCUAACUACGUGCCAGCAGCCGCGGUAAUACGUAGGYGGCWASCGUUUAUCCGGMAYUAUUGASGCGUAAAGCGCGCGCASGUCGCGUUUCUUAAGUGCUGAUGUGAWAKCCCACGGCUCAMCCGUAGGAGGGUCAUUGRAAACUGGGAKACUUGAGUGCAGAAGAGGAAAGWGGAAUUCCAUGUGUAGCGGUGAAAUGCGUAGAGAUAUGGAGGAACACCAGUGGCGAAGGCGACUUUCUGGUCUGUAACUGACACUGAKGCGCGAAAGACGUGGGGASCAAACAGGAUUAGAUACCCUGGUAGUCCACGCCGUAAACGAUGAGUGCUAAGUGUUAGAGGGUUUCCGCCCUUUAGUGCUGAAGUUAACGCAUUAAGCACUCCGCCUGGGGAGUACGGCCGCAAGGCUGAAACUCAAAGGAAUUGACGGGGGCCCGCACAAGCGGUGGAGCAUGUGGUUUAAUUCGAAGCAACGCGAAGAACCUUACCAGGUCUUGACAUCCUCUGACAACCCUAGAGAUAGGGCUUCUCCUUCGGGAGCAGAGUGACAGGUGGUGCAUGGUUGUCGUCAGCUCGUGUCGUGAGAUGUUGGGUUAAGUCCCGCAACGAGCGCAACCCUUGAUCUUAGUUGCCAUCAUUUAGUUGGGCACUCUAAGGUGACUGCCGGUGACAAACCGGAGGAAGGUGGGGAUGACGUCAAAUCAUCAUGCCCCUUAUGACCUGGGCUACACACGUGCUACAAUGGACGGUACAAAGAGCUGCAAGACCGCGAGGUGGAGCUAAUCUCAUAAAACCGUUCUCAGUUCGGAUUGUAGGCUGCAACUCGCCUACAUGAAGCUGGAAUCGCUAGUAAUCGCGGAUCAGCAUGCGCGGGGGAAAAACCUUUCCCGGGCCUUGUACACACCGCCCGUCACACCACGAGAGUUUGUACACCCGAAGUCGGUGGGGUAACCUUUUUGGAGCAGCCGCCUAAGGGGGACAAUGAUUGGGUGAGCUACAAAAAAAACCCCACACAAAAAGGGGGAGGAAACCC